RNAcentral lists this transfer RNA (55 nucleotides) under Aedes aegypti (yellow fever mosquito). It matches the Rfam family "tRNA", at positions 10 to 63 of the family's 71-position model. From Rfam's summary of the family: Transfer RNA (tRNA) molecules are approximately 80 nucleotides in length. Their secondary structure includes four short double-helical elements and three loops (D, anti-codon, and T loops). The record is from Rfam by way of RNAcentral. Lineage: Eukaryota; Metazoa; Arthropoda; Insecta; Diptera; Culicidae.
GCUUAAUUGAUAAAGCGCUCGUCUAUAAUACAAGAGUCCUGGGUUCGAAUCCCAG